UGUACGAUUUUAUUAUAUUUUUAACAAUGAAAAACACAAUCACUCCAUUACUUAGUCAUCUUUUUGUGCCGUCUGUUAUUUUUUUUAUUAUAAGGAAGUAUUUCUCUCUUGCGACACAGAGUUUCUCUGUAAUAGAGGGUGGAAACUUUACUGGCGGAACGCAUCGCUAUUUCUCUUGUGGGAUCGUCACAUCAAUGAAUAGCUUGUUUGCACAUGACAUCACUUCAAUGUGUUCCUGUGUUGUGAAAUGAAGAUGGGGGCAGGAAGUGAUUUUCUACAUAGGAACCACUAUCACAAACUCAAAAAAGCAGAUGUUUUGCAUCAUUUCUUAAAUUGCUUAAAUUGCUCAAACCACAAGGAGCUUUUAUCAUGUAACAAAAGUUGUUGUUCAUAAUGCAGUUCUGUCUAAUACAGAUUAGAAGUCUGUCUAAUAAUCACAUAGAACUGUAAAAUAAAGGAAUUAAAAUGUAUGAAAAGAAAUGUUAACCAUUGCUUUUAUAUUAUUAGUAAUAGAAAGGCAAACAGUAUAAUACUUUCUCAGUUUUUUGAGGUUUUUACAGACCCAAAGAAUCAUCUCCUGAGCCACUGCACAAAGGAACACAAUGUAACCAACACAAGAAAUCAGUGCAAAUAGUUUUAAAGUUCAAAUAGUUUUCAGUCAAUCUUUAAAUCACUCAUUAGGUUUUGUAAAAAUGAGCAAGUCUGCAUUUGUUAGGAGGAUGACAAGACCUCUCUUCACUGAUGACGUCCUGGGCUGUUUAGUGCAUUUUCAUUUAAAAAUGCAAAGCUUGGACGGAAUCAUCAUUUCUAUUCACUUUCUCUAUUCACUUGCUGCGGCCCAAUGUGCCUACUUAUACUACGUCCUUAAAGUAUGUACUUUUUUAGGUGAAGAAAAAGUACACCUGUUAAGUGUGUAGUAGAAGAGUAGGCAAGCUUUGGGACAUACUAUAAUGUCAUAUACAGUUGCGUCUUUAACGGACUGCUCUGUCGCAUAGUUACACGCACCCACCCUGUCACUGUAAAAGAAAAAGUUUAAGACCCAAAGUCUAAAAGGGUAUUAAGAUAUCUUUAAUACUACAGGCGUGCAGACUUUGGAGAAAAAAAAAAAA
Molecule: long non-coding RNA, 1109 nt
Organism: Carassius carassius (crucian carp)
Lineage: Eukaryota; Metazoa; Chordata; Actinopteri; Cypriniformes; Cyprinidae
Exons: 3
Source: RefSeq, a predicted model, not a curated record